GGCUCAGGAUGAACGCUAGCUACAGGCUUAACACAUGCAAGUCGAGGGGCAGCAUGGUCUUAGCUUGCUAAGGCCGAUGGCGACCGGCGCACGGGUGAGUAACACGUAUCCAACCUGCCGUCUACUCUUGGACAGCCUUCUGAAAGGAAGAUUAAUACAAGAUGGCAUCAUGAGUCCGCAUGUUCACAUGAUUAAAGGUAUUCCGGUAGACGAUGGGGAUGCGUUCCAUUAGAUAGUAGGCGGGGUAACGGCCCACCUAGUCUUCGAUGGAUAGGGGUUCUGAGAGGAAGGUCCCCCACAUUGGAACUGAGACACGGUCCAAACUCCUACGGGAGGCAGCAGUGAGGAAUAUUGGUCAAUGGGCGAGAGCCUAAACCAGCCAAGUAGCGUGAAGGAUGACUGCCCUAUGGGUUGUAAACUUCUUUUAUAAAGGAAUAAAGUCGGGUAUGCAUACCCGUUUGCAUGUACUUUAUGAAUAAGGAUCGGCUAACUCCGUGCCAGCAGCCGCGGUAAUACGGAGGAUCCGAGCGUUAUCCGGAUUUAUUGGGUUUAAAGGGAGCGUAGAUGGAUGUUUAAGUCAGUUGUGAAAGUUUGCGGCUCAACCGUAAAAUUGCAGUUGAUACUGGAUAUCUUGAGUGCAGUGAGGGCAGGCGGAAUUCGUGGUGUAGCGGUGAAAUGCUUAGAUAUCACGAAGAACUCCGAUUGCGAAGGCAGCCUGCUAAGCUGCAACUGACAUUGAGGCUCGAAAGUGUGGGUAUCAAACAGGAUUAGAUACCCUGGUAGUCCACACGGUAAACGAUGAAUACUCGCUGUUUGCGAUAUACAGCAAGCGGCCAAGCGAAAGCGUUAAGUAUUCCACCUGGGGAGUACGCCGGCAACGGCGAAACUCAAAGGAAUUGACGGGGGUCCGCACAAGCGGAGGAACAUGUGGUUUAAUUCGAUGAUACGCGAGGAACCUUACCCGGGCUUAAAUUGCAGAUGAAUUACGGUGAAAGCCGUAAGCCGCAAGGCAUCUGUGAAGGUGCUGCAUGGUUGUCGUCAGCUCGUGCCGUGAGGUGUCGGCUUAAGUGCCAUAACGAGCGCAACCCUUGUUGUCAGUUACUAACAGGUUCCGCUGAGGACUCUGACAAGACUGCCAUCGUAAGAUGUGAGGAAGGUGGGGAUGACGUCAAAUCAGCACGGCCCUUACGUCCGGGGCUACACACGUGUUACAAUGGGGGGUACAGAGGGCCGCUACCACGCGAGUGGAUGCCAAUCCCAAAAACCUCUCUCAGUUCGGACUGGAGUCUACAACCCGACUCCACGAAGCUGGAUUCGCUAGUAAUCGCGCAUCAGCCACGGCGCGGUGAAUACGUUCCCGGGCCUUGUACACACCGCCCGUCAAGCCAUGGGAGCCGGGGGUACCUGAAGUGCGUAACCGCGAGGAGCGCCCUAGGGUAAAACUGGU
This 1447-nucleotide ribosomal RNA is filed under the name uncultured organism. Its description in RNAcentral is "SSU rRNA". It matches the Rfam family "Bacterial small subunit ribosomal RNA". The record is from RNAcentral.